RNAcentral lists this ribosomal RNA (520 nucleotides) under uncultured bacterium. RNAcentral's name for it is "partial 16S ribosomal RNA". It matches the Rfam family "Bacterial small subunit ribosomal RNA", at positions 28 to 507 of the family's 1533-position model. The record is from RNAcentral.
GACGAACGCUGGCGGCGUGCCUAAUACAUGCAAGUCGAACGCACUCUCGUUUAGAUUGAAGGAGUUUGCUCCUGAUUGAUAAACAUUUGAGUGAGUGGCGGACGGGUGAGUAACACGUGGGUAACCUGCCCUAAAGUGGGGGAUAACAUUUGGAAACAGAUGCUAAUACCGCAUAAAACCUAACACCGCAUGGUGUAGGGUUGAAAGAUGGUUUCGGCUAUCACUUUAGGAUGGACCCGCGGUGCAUUAGUUAGUUGGUGAGGUAAAGGCUCACCAAGACCGUGAUGCAUAGCCGACCUGAGAGGGUAAUCGGCCACACUGGGACUGAGACACGGCCCAGACUCCCACGGGAGGCAGCAGUAGGGAAUCUUCCACAAUGGACGAAAGUCUGAUGGAGCAACGCCGCGUGAGUGAAGAAGGUGUUCGGAUCGUAAACCUCUGUUGUUGGAGAAGAAUGUAUCUGAUAGUAACUGAUCAGGUAGUGACGGUAUCCAACCAGAAAGCCACGGCUAACUACGUG